UUUCACUGCAUUGAGCAGCUUCAGCUGCAUGCAACAAAUUCUGCCUCUGUGUUUUUUUUAGUCUAACUUUAUUGAGCCUUUCGAUGGCUAAGUUGAAGAUCUCUCUUGGAGACAGUUUCCAUGGAAAGAAAUCUGAGCUAACCUGUUGGGGAGGUCAUACAGCGAGAAAGAGACCCUGGAGGAUAAGAAGCCACAUAGGAAAGAACCAAGGUGCCCCAGUGGACAGCCAGCACCCAGGCAUGUAAGAAAACUGAAAACUGCCAGUACUCUCUGUAGUAAAAUGAUCAAAGGAGGUAUCCUUAAGACUCCUGAAGGAGCAUUGGAGAUUGGAAGGACAACACAAGUGUUU
Long non-coding RNA from Cervus elaphus (red deer), 349 nucleotides. RefSeq lists it as uncharacterized. The transcript is spliced from 4 exons. NCBI's taxonomy places the organism in Eukaryota, Metazoa, Chordata, Mammalia, Artiodactyla, Cervidae. The record is from RefSeq and is a predicted model, not a curated record.